RNAcentral lists this long non-coding RNA (648 nucleotides) under Erythranthe guttata (spotted monkey flower). Its description in RNAcentral is "long non-coding RNA (EGUT_LNC003277)". Lineage: Eukaryota; Viridiplantae; Streptophyta; Magnoliopsida; Lamiales; Phrymaceae. The record is from RNAcentral.
CCUAAUUGAAGUUACUCCCUCAUUCUCACCCGUCCUCACGCCGCUCCCCACUAUCUUCUCUCUGCCUUUUGCUUUUCUCCCACCAACACCACCCUCAAUUCUCCGUCAACCACCACCCGCGCCUCCUAUUCUCUCCGCCAGCACCAGCGCCGCCCUCUUCCUCUCCGUCGAGCACGCUGCCCUCGUCAUUCUCUCCACCUUUUGCACCGGCAGCGCCGCCCUCUUUCUCUCCACCGAAAACCAGCCCCACCGCCCUCGUUCUCUCCGCCGAGCACCAGCCCCGCCGCCCUCGUUCUCUCCGCUGAGCACCAGCCCCGCCGCCCUCGUUCUCUCCACCGAGCUCCAGCCACGCCGCUCUCGUUCUCUCGACGAGCACCAGCCCCGCUGCCCUGUAUUCUGUUUUCAUUUUUUUCUUUUUUAAAUCCGGAAAUUCCAAAAAAUCCGAAAAUGAAGGAUUCCGAAAAAAUCCGGUGGUCGGCGGUGUCGGCUUCUAGGGUUUGACGGCUGUUGUGUUUACGACUAGGGUUGGCGAGAUUGGGUGCUAGGGUUUGGUAGUAUACCGUAGUAGACUAUAGUACACUGUAGUAUACUUUGUAUACUUUGCUUUUAGGGUUUGGAUAAGUAAACUAUAGGAGAUCAUAGUACACU